This is a long non-coding RNA of Nothoprocta perdicaria, 1540 nucleotides long. RefSeq lists it as uncharacterized. The transcript has 3 exons. NCBI's taxonomy places the organism in Eukaryota, Metazoa, Chordata, Aves, Tinamiformes, Tinamidae. The record is from RefSeq and is a predicted model, not a curated record.
AGGAUUUUUUGUUCCUAUAUCCACUGGCCAUGGUUAGCAACCUUCUUUAGAAUAUCUCUGAAUGAAAUGAUACAUUUGCUUUGGGGCCCAGGUGGGACUCAGACCUCUUUUUCCGUAGACUGGCUCUAUGGAGAAGCACAACUGCAUCGCUCCAGUGGAGUUCACCUAGCAGCAGAUCCCUGGAAGAAAGACCUGUGCUGUGGUGAAGAAUUUUGCUGCAACUCCGUGUGCUUCUCUUCACUCCCAUUGAAUGCUUUGCUGACCUGCAUCUCCAUGUUGCUCAACACCCCACGAGGCUGCACGGGCUCUCCCUGGCGCUCUGGAGUACAAUGUCUAUCCCACCUGAGCGGAGGGGACUCUAUCCCCAACUGAACUGUGCUGGAGUCCUUGCCCCACGGAAGUUUUGGGAGCGCAUGGGGAAAUGAUGGGAAAACUGAAAGAUUUUUCACCGCUGCAGUAAAUGUGCUCCCAUCAGCCCAGUGCAGCAGCAUCAAGACUUGGGGAGUAGAUGUGAUUCCCACGAUUAACCAAGUCAUUUAUUUGAUGAUGAGACAGAGAAGACCCUCAAGAACAGAACCCAAGCAAGGAAACAACCCUGGAGGGAGGGAAGUGUCAGCUGCCUGGUUUUAAGGUUUCUCUUUCUGUUUACCCAGCAACCCAAGGCUUGCUCAGGUGGGGACCCUCCACUCUUUCACAAUCAAGAGCUGAGAAGGGUCACGUAAGCCAGAGAAUUACAAGGCAGCCCCAGCUCGCUCUUCAGAUUGAAGUGGUUUUAGAAUAAUUUGGUCUUGCUCCUAGUCUAAGGUUUCAUUUUUUAAUGCAUGUGCCUGAGCAAGCAGCUAGCUGUUAGGACACGGAGAUGCUGCUGCAUGGGUCUUCUGCAGCACAAAAAGUAGAUGUGGUGCAGGUUUGCUGAUACACAGGUGAGUGCAUGCAGAGGCACUGAAAACUGGACCUCUGGUGAAACCCAACGCAUUGGGUGAGACAACUCAAGUAUGGAUGUGGUCUGGCUUUGUUGAUCCACUGAAGCCAAAAUAGGUGGGUUAUCUCACUAUAAGCAUCCCAGACUUCAAUAUAGGCAUGAUGCCACCGAGCCAGGAGAUGAUGUGACACUAUACUGGGCCCAGAGGAUAUGCUGGUUUGGGUCUACUACACCUCAGAGACUCCGGCUCAACACUCAGUGGGAUGAAACUGGGCUCCGCCUACAAGCCCCACAGAGCCAGCACCAGAAUCAAAGAUACAUGGCUUUGCAUGUGGUAGUUGAAUUAUUUUGACUUUUAUAUUCACUGUACACGAUUAAUAAUCUAUUACUAAAGACUGAGGUUUGUGGCUUGCAGGGCUCUAGCAGUUAGUUGGUUUAGAAGACCCAGGAGGUGCUAUUUUGUGCAGAAGUAGCAGGACCCUGCAGGUUGCCAGCACAAUUUCAUGUCCACAUAAAAUAUUCAGGUGAACUCCAAACUGAUUAUUCUAAAGCCUUUCUUCUCAUAAGAAAAUGAUGCUAUUUCUUUUGUUUGUUUUAAAGAGAGGUAUUAUAGAAGUC